Molecule: ribosomal RNA, 440 nt
Filed under: uncultured bacterium
Lineage: Bacteria
Description: partial 16S ribosomal RNA
Rfam family: Bacterial small subunit ribosomal RNA
Source: RNAcentral
CCUACGGGAGGCAGCAGUGGGGAAUAUUGCACAAUGGGGGAAACCCUGAUGCAGCGACGCCGCGUGAGUGAAGAAGUAAUUCGUUAUGUAAAGCUCUAUCAGCAGGGAAGAAAAUGACGGUAUCUGAGUAAGAAGCCCCGGCGAACUACGUGCCAGCGGCGGCGGUAAUACGUAGGGGGAAAGCGUUUUCCGGAUUUACUGGGUGGAAAGGGAGCGUAGACGGCAGUGCAAGUCUGGAGUGAAAGGCGGGGGCUCAACCCCCGGACUGCUCUUGAAACUGUACGGCUGGAGUGCAGGAGAGGUAAGUGGAAUUCCUAGUGUAGCGGUGAAAUGCGUAGAUAUUAGGAGGAACACCAGUGGCGAAGGCGGCUUACUGGACUGUAACUGACGUUGAGGCUCGAAAGCGUGGGGAGCAAACAGGAUUAGAUACCCGUGUAGUC